Molecule: unclassified non-coding RNA, 540 nt
Filed under: Hevea brasiliensis (rubber tree)
Lineage: Eukaryota; Viridiplantae; Streptophyta; Magnoliopsida; Malpighiales; Euphorbiaceae
Source: RNAcentral
UAAUCUUUAAAGGUACAUGGUAUUAAUUUGAACUUAUGAUUUCUUGCGCUAGGUCACAAUACUUUAUUUCAGUUUUCUUGGCAGAGGUUAAGGAGUUACAAACCAAAAGCAGCAGAAAAAAUAUAAAUCAUAUUAGAAAUGAAUAGGGUAAAGCAAGAAUUGAAGUGAGAGAUGAGGUUACCAUAAGGGUAAAACCGGUGAUACUAGCCCAUGAAUCAGCAAGGGUGGCGCCUGCGAGCUCACGGUUUCCGAGGCGACCAGCGAACAUGACAGAUACCAGAGUUAUUGAGCAAUAGAAAACACUUGUGAGGGUCAUUGGGAGAGAAAACAACAUCUGGUUCUUGGCCUCUUCCACAUCCAACACAUUCUUCCACCAUCUUCUCCUUCUCCUAGUUUCUUCUCCUUUGCUACUAGCUUCUAACAAGGGUUUUGCGUCUAAAUUACUUUUCAUUGUCGACAUUAUUUUUAUCUUCUCUUCGAUCAUUUAGUGUACAAUAUUUGUAUAGCUGAGCAGCCUCCGUUUCUAAGGCGAUAACUCUU